GACGUAGGGAGCAAGCGUUGUCCGGAAUUACUGGGCGUAAAGAGCUCGUAGGCGGGAGCGUACGUCUGAAAGGAAAUCUCAGGGCUCAACUCUGGGGCUUUUUCAGAUACGGCGCUUCUUGAGUGUAACAGAGGAAAGCAGAAUUCCCGGUGUAGCGGUGAAAUGCGUAGAUAUCAGGAGGAACACCGAUGGCGAAGGCAGGUCUCUGGGCAUUAACUGACGCUGAGGAGCGAAAGCAUGGGGAGCGAACAGG
This 253-nucleotide ribosomal RNA is filed under the name uncultured bacterium. Its description in RNAcentral is "partial 16S ribosomal RNA". It matches the Rfam family "Bacterial small subunit ribosomal RNA", at positions 524 to 776 of the family's 1533-position model. The record is from RNAcentral.